CUUUGGUUUUCUUGCCAGAGUAAAUGACUUUCUUCCUAACUGUAAUGUGCAUUCCUCAGGUCUGUUCUUCCCUAUUAGAGCAAUUUAGCCCUAUAUAGCUACUGAUCGUGUUUUAUUUCUAUGCUGGCUAUUGGACUCUAAUUAAAUUCUCAUUGCUACGUUUGUUUACAAAUGACUAAAAUCACAUUCCUGUUCAUUUCAGUGAGUCUUAUCUCAAGGAGCAGCUGCAGAAGCUUUUGAGAUUAGAUUCCAUGACAAUAAAAUGCUGCUGACAGGGAAACCACUGUGCUGGUUUAACGUGGUCUAAUACUGCGCUAUGGGUAAGGUGCAGUUUUCUCACUACCAAGAAGGAAAACUCCACAUUGAUUUGAAGCAAUGGAUUGAUGUUCCUAGUUUGGCCUGGGAAAUUCGACAAUACAACCAGUUGAUCAUGAUCACUGAAUCCCAGUCACACAUGAAUUUGCUAAAGAGAGACAACAUUUGUCCUUCACUGCAUGUUCUUCGUAUCUCAGCUUAGGUCUCUGUUACUGUAAAAACUGCCUGUACACUUUCUUUCUGCAAACUACCACGUCCUGCUGAAGAGGUCACAGAGACGAGACCGUGUUCUUUGUUACCAGCAUGUCGUGAGAUUGGAGUGAUUUUAUUGGCACCA
Molecule: long non-coding RNA, 652 nt
Filed under: Apteryx rowi (Okarito brown kiwi)
Lineage: Eukaryota; Metazoa; Chordata; Aves; Apterygiformes; Apterygidae
Description: lncRNA (ENSARWG00000008591.1)
Source: RNAcentral